CACAGGGUCUAUAAAUGGCUCGCAGGUCACACUGAGAGACCAUUCCCGUAUAGACGUAGAAAACCGAUAAGAAAACCAAGACAGUAUACAGUUGAUCAAACCUCAGGGAAUUCUUCAUCGGAAUCAGACAUACAUUAUACAACCACGAGCGCACCAGAAAGGGAGCCUUUUUUAGAGUCAGACCCAGGAUCAUCCAGGAUCCACACGAGACUAACCACACAACUAGAAGCCGAAGGCAUAGCACCAGGCGUGGGCAAAAGGGCAGAGCCUAUAGGACCACGAUAC
This is a non-coding RNA of Pelobates cultripes (western spadefoot toad), 285 nucleotides long. NCBI's taxonomy places the organism in Eukaryota, Metazoa, Chordata, Amphibia, Anura, Pelobatidae. The record is from the annotation of a GenBank genome assembly.